AUUGAACGCUGGCGGCAUGCCUUACACAUGCAAGUCGAACGGCAGCACGGGAGCAAUCCUGGUGGCGAGUGGCGAACGGGUGAGUAAUAUAUCGGAACGUGCCCAGUCGUGGGGGAUAACGCAGCGAAAGCUGUGCUAAUACCGCAUACGAUCCAUGGAUGAAAGCGGGGGACUCGCAAGGGCCUCGCGCGAUUGGAGCGGCCGAUAUCAGAUUAGGUAGUUGGUGUGGUAAAAGCGCACCAAGCCGACGAUCUGUAGCUGGUCUGAGAGGAUGAUCAGCCACACUGGGACUGAGACACGGCCCAGACUCCUACGGGAGGCAGCAGUGGGGAAUAUUGGACAAUGGGCGAAAGCCUGAUCCAGCAAUGCCGCGUGAGUGAUGAAGGCCUUAGGGUUGUAAAGCUCUUUUACCCGAGAUGAUAAUGACAGUAUCGGGAGAAUAAGCUCCGGCUAACUCCGUGCC
Molecule: ribosomal RNA, 463 nt
Filed under: uncultured bacterium
Lineage: Bacteria
Description: bacterial SSU rRNA
Rfam family: Bacterial small subunit ribosomal RNA
Source: RNAcentral